GACGAACCGUGCGAACGUUAUUCGGAAUCACUGGGCUUAAAGCGCGUGUAGGCGGAUGAGCACGUCUGUCGCUGAAAUCCCCCGGCUCAACCGGGGAACGGGCGUGGAUACGGCUUGUCUGGAGGGGCGUAGGGGGACCUGGAACUUCCGGUGGAGCGGUGAAAUGCGUAGAUAUCGGGAAGAACACCAGUGGCGAAAGCGCUCUACUGGGCCAUAACUGACACUGAGGGACGAAAGCUAGGGGAGCGAAAGGG
RNAcentral lists this ribosomal RNA (254 nucleotides) under uncultured bacterium. RNAcentral's name for it is "partial 16S ribosomal RNA". It matches the Rfam family "Bacterial small subunit ribosomal RNA", at positions 524 to 776 of the family's 1533-position model. The record is from RNAcentral.